Molecule: non-coding RNA, 834 nt
Organism: Paramuricea clavata
Lineage: Eukaryota; Metazoa; Cnidaria; Anthozoa; Malacalcyonacea; Plexauridae
Source: the annotation of a GenBank genome assembly
GUCAGAAAAGAAGGUUUUACACACAGAGUAUAUGGCGAUAUGGUAACGUUUUGUAUUAAAUUCCAUGUUUUCCCGCCAUGACAGUAUACAAGAACUGCCAGGCGCUCCCCAGCACGCUUCCUUCCCAAAAGCCCCCUUCGCGCGUCGCCUGCCUACCUGAAUACUUCAUGUAUUGUAAUUAUUUAAAGCGCCUGGGUACAAGGCAGCUCCGCCCUUUGGGCGUUGUGUUUCCACACAAUUUCUCGUUUUCCCAACUUCCGUUCGUGUUGAUAUAACUGUAUAUCAACACGGAAAAUGUUUUAUAUUUGUUAAAUAUCAAAGCUAACUCAAAUUCUGCAUGGCCUAACAUUUUUACUAAAUAUAUGUAAUUAUAUAUUCAAUUAUAUAUUUGCAUAUCAAUACUGACUAUCAAUUUAUUACACUUUGAGUUCAAAAUGAGAGUUAAGUAUUUUUGAACCAUCGGAUGAAGUGGUCGUCUUCACCACAAUCUUCUUGAUAUUCACUUUACAUUCACACUCCGCGGCAGGACUGGUGAAAAAACACAAGGUGUAAAGCGCUAGCUCAAACUCUGGAGAUGUCCCAAUUAGCAUAUUAUCGGUCACUGGCACUCCUCGAUUCCACGAAAACAUCAUUGAGACAACUUUUGGCUGAAAACAACACGCAACUUAUGAAGACAACAUUAUUAUGAUUUCGUGAAAACAUGAGAUCCUCAUGCACAUGCACGCAGUGGGAUGGAUAGAACUAAGUUUCAAAGCAUUACUGGCGAGCUUAGGCAGGUAUAGGACGGGAACGCAACGGCAAACAAGCAAAUGAUUGCAGAAGAAAACCUGUCAU